Molecule: long non-coding RNA, 245 nt
Filed under: Elaeis guineensis (African oil palm)
Lineage: Eukaryota; Viridiplantae; Streptophyta; Magnoliopsida; Arecales; Arecaceae
Description: long non-coding RNA (EGUI_LNC009095)
Source: RNAcentral
GUGCCCAAUGUAUCAUGUCCUGAUCGUACGGGAUCGUGCCCACUAACUUACCAACUGAAGCUCUAACUCUCCGCUAUAAAAGAGGACCGUCGAAGAAGGUAUGCAAGAACUCUACCUCUCACGCUCCUCCUUCUAUUGAACGAAAUUUUGACUUGAGCUUCGGGGGGUCCUUGCCGGAGCCACCUCUAAUUUGAACUUUUUUGCAGGUCACGUGCCCAGGAGGCCUACCUUAUCACCAACUCCAG